RNAcentral lists this transfer RNA (64 nucleotides) under Rhyacophila kando. RNAcentral's name for it is "tRNA-His". Lineage: Eukaryota; Metazoa; Arthropoda; Insecta; Trichoptera; Rhyacophilidae. The record is from RNAcentral.
AUUUAAUUAGUUUAAAAAAAAUAUUAAUUUGUGGGAUUAAAGAUAAAUUUUAAUUUAUUAGAUA